CUAGACGCUCGUGUAUGAAGGUAAACUAAUUAAGUACAGUGUUUUUGCAGUGAAUUUUUUAUGUUAUUAUUGUUAUCUGGUUUUUAAACCAAGUUAAUCAUGAUCUAGUAGUUAGUAAUUGAUUCUAAAUUGUAGACUUCACAACACGGCUGCAAUGGGAUGUUAUUCAGUUAUUGAGAAUUGAAACAGUCGUCCGAACGGUAUUUUACUUUGCACGUCAUUCAAUUUUCUUUGUUUGUGAAUUACCAUAUUUAUUCUUUAUUCUAUUGCAGUGCUGCGUGACGCUAAAUUGCAUUUAUACCCAUUACCUAGUUUGUAGUUAUUGUAAUUUGUCGCCCAGUCUUCUUCAUUGUUAUUUUAAUGAUUUAUACAUGAUCGAAUUAUAGACGUGAAUCAACGUGAGUACCUAUUAAUUUAUUAUUUUAUCCAUAAAUUACUUACUUAUCUACAGGUAGUUUAUUAGUUGUAACCUAAUUAUGCAAUUGAAAUCACCUAAUUAAAUACAAAAAUAAUUUCUUAUGUUUUUAUAUCAGUAGAUAGGUGCCUAGGUACUGUUGUGGGUGACUGUUUAACACCAAGUUCCAGGUGAACUUAUAACUAGUGGUGUAUUCGAUGCUUUAAUGCUUUCAAUUUAAUGUUUCUGCUUCCGUUGUCACUAAAAUAGCCUAUAACCUUAAUGCGUAAUGUGAGUUCAACUUGAAGUUUUAAUGUAAGCAAUAGGUAUUACAUUACCUAUAGGAAAUGUUACCUAAUUGUAUAAUAUUAGGUACUUAAUUAUAUUAUGUAUAAUAUUACCUAAAAUUCUGAAAUCUAAAAAUUUGUAUGAUUAAGUACACUUUUAAGAUUGUAGCAAUUAACAUAUAUUUGUAUUUGUAAAUCUAAAAAAUUUAAAAGUGGGGCGGGUGGGGGGGGAGUGAAAAUUGAUCGCAAUCACCUCUUUUAUUUAUAAUUGGUGUAUACUCAAGACUCUUUUUAAGACUACAUUAUUGUCUCUAACCGAAGUCAAAAAUAAACAGACAUAAUUUUUAUAAAUACCUACCCAUAUUUUACUAAAUUGUAAAAAUAUUCAAACACUUGGUCAAUUUCAUGAAAAAGCCUGGUAUGAAAGUACUCAAGACUCAACUGAAAAGGAGUUGUUGGCAGCCAGUAUUUAUAUUGUGUACUCAUAGGUGUAUUAUGAUGGUUUUCUGUUAGGGUGCCUUAAUAGCCUUAACAAAAUUGUUUUCAAGGAUACAUAUCUACUUGUCGGUACUGUUAUGGUGUUACCCCUCCCUUAAAAGCAUAAGGUUAUUAUGAGGCAUACACAGGAGAGGAUUUUGGGAGUUUAAUCACCUCAAGAACUUUUAGUUUAUUAAUUUUGUGUUUAAUUAUAAUCAACAUAUUAGGUGCAUAAAAAUAUUUUAUAAAAUAAAACACUAACAUUUUCACUUGCAUAUUAUGCACUUUAUGUAUGCCCUAUAGGUACAUAUGAAGAGCUACGGGGAAAAACGAUAAUAGUAAAAAAAAAAAAAAAUAGGAUAAUUAUAUCAUCUUGUCAUUUGUUUCUAAGUGAAUUGGUAUGUAAAUCGAUUUGGGGAAUAAAGAUCACGGUCAGUGAUAUAAAAUAGGUUUAAAUAUACCUAUGACAGCAAAACAAGAUCAUAGUUUGACUUCUGAAACUUUAAAACUGCAAUACUGCACAUUUUAGAAAUAUUGACUAAUCGUUUUUUGAGUCAUUUUUUCUUUUAGCAUUUUAUAUAAAAAUAUGGAUAAAUGUAUAUUACAAAUAAUUCAAAGUUAAUAAAAAUAAAUACUUAGAUGUCGGUUUACAUUUUUAAGAAUAAAUAUAUUUUAAUGUUACAAUAAUUAAAACAGUAAGAACUAAAAUUACAAAUAAAUAAUAAAAUUAAUUUCAACUGUAGACUUUUUGGCAAAAAUAUUUUAUAUUAACAUGAUUAAUAUUUGAUAUGUUUCUUUCCAUGCAAACUUAUGAUAUAUUUGUAAACCUCUCAUUGGAACAUUUAAACAUUUUAAGUAAAGUACUACCAAGCAGAAAUAUAUAUUUAUUGAUAUUGCAUGAAAAAAAUCAAACUAUGAUUUAAAAUAGAAAAAAAAAACCAAAUCUUUGUAUUACUAAAACCUUUUUCAAUAUACUCAGAAUGUAAAAUAAUUCAUUUUGACUGUAUAAUAAAAAGCUUUACUUCGUAUUGUUUAAUAAAAUGCUAAACUGUCAUCAUAUUUUAACUUAAUACAUUUGAUAAGUUUUAAACUUUCUGUUAAAAAUCUAAUUUUUAAACACAAAAUAAUAUAAGUUUGAAUUUUUUUAUCAAUUGUAUAAAAUAAUAAGCCUUAGAUAGUUAGAUAAUUAUAUUUUAUACAUUUCGCAAAAAAAAAAAAAGGGUAACAAGAAAACUUUUUCUUGGAUGAUUAUUUUAUAGGGGAAGCUGUAAGAAAUGUUAAAAGGUUGGAAAAAAUGUUGGUGGUUAUGACUCCCUUAGCCCCUCAUGCAUCGAGUAUGCCAUACCUACCCCAAGCACUAGUAUGCCUUCAGCAGUAAACAAAUAAUGAGAAAAUAAAUUAAGAUGGUUUGGGAAUGUCAUUAGAAGAAUGGAAUUUGAAAUAGUAAGAAUGGUUAUGAUUUUAUUAUAAUAAUUUAUUUUACAUAUUACCUAUGAUAAUAUCAGAGCACUAUUUUGUAGUAUGAUAAUAAUUAAUUAUUAAAACUUGAAACUAUUUAGCUUAAGUAAAUAUAUUUAUUUUAUAAUACUUAUUGUAAAUUGUAACUUUAAAUUUAAUUAAAAUAAGGAAAAGUAGUUUUUUAGUAAAAAAUGAAGACAAUAGGUACACAAAUAGAAAAGAAAAUUGCUUUUUGGUAACAGGAAUAUAAAAUGAGAAAAAUAGUUAAGUUCACAACAUAAUAUAAAAAAGGUUUUAUUUUCUUCUCUUCAAUAAGUCUAAAUUCAAUUGUACCAUAGAAAAUGAUAAUUCCUAUAGUAGUAAGACAUUUUUAUAUUAAUGAUUAGGCUUGCAAAUAUUGAUAAAUUAUUUUUAAAGUAUUUUUGUUUACUUCAUUAUUAUUAAUUAUAUUAUAUAAUAUUAUAAUACCAGUUAUCUAUUCUGUAAUAUGAUAAUUAUUAAUUUUUAGAGUUUGUUUUAGAUUAAGUAUAUAACAUUUCGAUUUCUAGAAGGUAGGGUGUAGGUACACAAUGACCAUUAAAUAUAUGUGAUAUAUAAUCUUGCACCAUCAAGUGAUUUUUUUUGUGUUUCUUUUGUUUGUCUUUUAUGAUUUCCUACUUAAUCGGUUGAUCUGAUCAAGUCAGGCUCUAGCUUGUCCCUGCCCUGUCCAAUCAACAGCUGUAUCUAUUAAAGAUGUAGAGGCCAGACUGGUAACCUCCACACACAUGCAGUUGCUAGGUAACACCUUCGGGAGCCUACUUGCUUAUUCCUGACUACCAACAGCUAGGUAUCCAACCCACCUGUUGUACUAUUAUUAUUUCUGAUUGUGACUUCUAUAAAGAAUUUUUUAAAUGGUAGCUUUCCAUUACAUUUUAUACCUACAGCCAGAUGAUUUUUGUUCAGGGUUUCUUCCCCUACGAUGCUUGCCAGUCAAGGGUGGAGAGUUUGCCUUACCCUGAUUUGUAUGCUGAUCACAGCAUCUGUAUUGACUUAUAUCAUAGCUAAUGGCAAUAUAAGGUAGUCCAAAAAGUUAUUCUAGAAUUAUUUGCCUGAAACAUUUCUCCAAUUUGGUGAUGGCUGUUGCCCCAUUAAUGCAAGACAAACUGUCCGGGUAAUGUAUUAUACUAAUAAUACAAACAUUUUUUUCCUUUCAAUCUUUUGCACAAAUUAAAUAGCGCGGAAUGUAUAAAUGCCCAAACAGAUUUCCAAACCACUUGACCACUUGAUCCCCAAUCAAAAUCCACAGUUACAGACAUUUGGAGAUAGUGCCCUUUGUGUUGCUGUUGCUGAAUACUAUGUGUAUUAGUUAAUAUAUAUUUAAAACUAGGGAUUAUAUAAAUGCACAAGUAUAUUACCUCAAUAAAAUUGUCCUUGUGUCUGUUAAAAUAUAUAGGUACUGAAUAGUUGUAGAGCCAUUUUUUUAUUGACUCUGACUUUCUCAAAAUUGGAAUGAAAUCUCUAUGCCAACCAUUGAUCUCAAAGGAUGCCAUAUUGCAAUCUUAUCAUAAAACCUUUCAUUUUCAGUCUCCUGGUAAAAAUAUUAUUAACAACAUGUACCACAUCUCAUUGUCCAAGAUAAAUGUUAUUACAGUGGCACACUUAAACAAUAAAUUCCCUAAAAGAAUUCUAAAAAGAAACUCAGAAUAGUAUUUUAAAAGUAUUUAAUGUAUAAAAUAGAUUUUUACUAUUUCAAAUACAUUUUAAUGUACAAUAAGAAAGAUAAAUUAAAAUACUUAUAAAAAUGCAAAAUGUUCAAAAUGUUUGUAAGCACACUCAUAUCCAGCUGAUACAUUUGUAAAUGUUUAAAUUUUAUAAUUAAAUAUAAAAUAUGUGUUUACUUAUAGUAUAGUGCAUACUUAAUAUUGUUAUUAACUUAUUAAAAUAACAAAACUUAAUUAUUUUUAAAAUAAACAUUAUGUAAAUUAAAAAAUAUGUUAAUUUUAAAAUACUCAUAGUAAAUUGUAACAUUACAUUUAAUUAAAAUAUUGGCAAAUAGUUAUUUGAUAAAAAACCAAAUGAAAUUUACAAACAGAAAAGAAAAUGGCUUUUAAGAAAUAAAGAAAUAUAAAUGGGAAAAUGUAAAUAGUCCACAAUAUAUUGUUAAGUUUUUCUCCUUUCUAUUUUCUUUUCACCCAUAGGUCCAAGUUCAAUCUUGAACUAGAACAGGAUCAUUCAUAUAUAAGAAAGGAAAUUAAAUAUGUUAAUGAUACAUUUAGAUAUCAAAUAAAUGUUUUUUUCAUAAUUUAAAUAUAAUUAUUUAAGUAAUAUAUUUUAAUAUAGGGAUGAAAUUAUGUGGUUAAAAAGUAAGAGAAUAUACAAAUUGAAAAAAGAAAAAAAAUUAUGGCUUUUUGGUAAUGAGGAAAUAAAAAUGGGAAAAUGACAUAGUCCACAAAAAAGUGUUAAAUUUUUCUCCUUUUUAUUUUCUCUUCUCCCAUAAGUCAAAGUUCAAUAUUAUAAUAGAACAGGAUCAAUCAUAAAGAAGAAAGAAAAUUCAAUAUGUAAAUGAUACAUGUAAAUAUUAUAUUAACUGUUGUAUUCAUUAUUCUAAGGAAAUCAUUUAUUUUAUGUAUUGUAAUUAAAGGGUAUUCUAUGAUGAAGAUCCAAUUAAAAUAAUAAACUUUAUAUUAUUUACUUUAUGUAAAUGUAAUUGUGUUUUAAUACAUAAUAUAAAUUUUAAUAUUGUAUUCAAUAAAAAAAACCUGAACGUAGAUAUUUGACAUGAAAGAAAGAUAAUACACAUACAGAAAAAAGAAACAAAAAAUAUGGCUUUUUGGUAAUGAGGAAAUAAAAAUGGGAAAAUGACAAAAGUCCACAGUAAUGUGUUAAGUUUUCUCCUUUUUAUUUUCUCUUCUCCCAUAAGUCCCAAGUUCANGUAUAUAAAUAGCCGUUUUAAUUAUUCUAAAGAAAUCAUUUAUUUUAUGUAUUAUAAUAAAAGGGUAUUCUAUGAUGAAGAUCCAAUUAAAAUAAUAAACUUUAUAUUAUUUACUUUAUGUAAAUGUAAUUAUUUUUCAGGACUUGAUAUGAAUUUUAAUAUUAUAUUCAAUAAAAAAAACCUGAAUAUAGAUAUUUUGCACGAAAGAAAGAUAAUACACAUACAGAAAAAGGAAGAAAAAAUAUAGCUUUUUGGUAAUGAGGAAAUAAAAAUGGGAAAAUGACAAAAGUCUACAAUAUAGUAUUAAGUUUUUCUCCUUUUUAUUUUCUCUUCUCCCAUAAGUCCAAGUUCAAUAUUAAACUAGAACAGUAUCUUAUAGGGGUAAGGAAAUGUAAUAUGUUGAUGAUACAUGUAAAUAUUAUUUUAAUAGCUGUAUUCAUUAUUCUAAUGAAAUC
Molecule: non-coding RNA, 5982 nt
Organism: Cinara cedri
Lineage: Eukaryota; Metazoa; Arthropoda; Insecta; Hemiptera; Aphididae
Source: the annotation of a GenBank genome assembly